AAGGGGGCAACUCCUUCCAGUCGAGUGGCGGACGGGUGAGUAACACGUGGGUAACCUGCCCGGAAGUGGGGAAUACCUCGGGGAAACUCGAGCUAAUACCGCAUGACAUCUUCGGGACGAAAGUCCUGACGAUCAAAGCGGGGUCGCAAGAUCUCGCGCUACCGGAUGGGCCCGCGCCCGAUUAGCUAGUUGGUGAGGUAACGGCUCACCAAGGCUUCGAUCGGUAACCGGCCUGAGAGGGCGAUCGGUCACACCGGAACUGAGACACGGUCCGGACUCCUACGGGAGGCAGCAGUGGGGAAUCUUGCGCAAUGGGCGAAAGCCUGACGCAGCAACGCCGCGUGGAGGAUGAAGGCCCUUGGG
This 363-nucleotide ribosomal RNA is filed under the name uncultured bacterium. Its description in RNAcentral is "bacterial SSU rRNA". It matches the Rfam family "Bacterial small subunit ribosomal RNA", at positions 73 to 422 of the family's 1533-position model. The record is from RNAcentral.